This 319-nucleotide ribosomal RNA is filed under the name Podarcis peloponnesiacus (Peloponnese wall lizard). Its description in RNAcentral is "partial large subunit ribosomal RNA". It matches the Rfam family "Bacterial large subunit ribosomal RNA", at positions 2017 to 2536 of the family's 2925-position model. Lineage: Eukaryota; Metazoa; Chordata; Lepidosauria; Squamata; Lacertidae. The record is from RNAcentral.
UGUCUCUUACGGACUAGCCAAUGAAAUUGAUCCUUCAGUACAAAAGCUGGAAUUAGCCCAUAAGACGAGAAGACCCUGUGGAGCUUCAAAACCAAAAUCACCAAACAUGCUUCAUGGGUUUUUAGUUGGGGCGACUUUGGAGCAAAAAAAACCCUCCAAACAUAAAUCUAUUUAUUAAGACUAACACACCAAAAAAAUAUUAUAGACCCAGCAGUAUCUAUUUACUGUCUGACCAAUGAACCAAGUUACCCCAGGGAUAACAGCGCCAUCCUCUUCUAGAGUCCUUAUCGACAAGAGGGUUUACGACCUCGAUGUUGGC